Molecule: microRNA precursor, 98 nt
Filed under: Colobus angolensis palliatus
Lineage: Eukaryota; Metazoa; Chordata; Mammalia; Primates; Cercopithecidae
Description: miRNA (ENSCANG00000001321.1)
Source: RNAcentral
AGGUAGGAGGAUUGCUUGAGCCUGGGAGAUGGAGGUUGCAGUGAGCCAAGAUCAUGCCACUACACUCCAAUCUGGGCAACAGAGCCAGACCUUGUCUC